UUAACUGACGCUGAGGCUCGAAAGUAUGGGUAGCAAACAGGAUUAGAUACCUGGUAGUCCAUACCGUAAACGAUGAAUGCUAAGUGUUGGAGGGUUCCGCCUUUCAGUGCUGCAGCUAACGCAUUAAGCAUUCCGCUGGGGAGUACGGCCGCAAGGCUGAAACUCAAAGGAAUUGACGGGGGCCCGCACAAGCGGUGGAGCAUGUGGUUUAAUUCGAAGCUACGCGAAGAACCUUACCAGGUCUUGACAUACUAUGCAAAUCUAAGAGAUUAGACGUUCCCUUCGGGGACAUGGAUACAGGUGGUGCAUGGUUGUCGUCAGCUCGUGUCGUGAGAUGUUGGGUUAAGUCCCGCAACGAGCGCAACCCUUAUUAUCAGUUGCCAGCAUUAAGUUGGGCACUCUGGUGAGACUGCCGGUGACAAACCGGAGGAAGGUGGGGAUGACGUCAAAUCAUCAUGCCCCUUAUGACCUGGGCUACACACGUGCUACAAUGGAUGGUACAACGAGUUGCGAACUCGCGAGAGUAAGCUAAUCUCUUAAAGCCAUUCUCAGUUCGGAUUGUAGGCUGCAACUCGCCUACAUGAAGUCGGAAUCGCUAGUAAUCGCGGAUCAGCAUGCCGCGGUGAAUACGUUCCCGGGCCUUGUACACACCGCCCGUCACACCAUGAGAGUUUGUAACACCCAAAGUCGGUGGGGUAACCUUUAGGAACCAGCCGCCUAAGGUGGGACAGAUGAUUAGGGUGAAGUCGUAACAAGGUAACCA
RNAcentral lists this ribosomal RNA (763 nucleotides) under uncultured Lactobacillus sp. RNAcentral's name for it is "bacterial SSU rRNA". It matches the Rfam family "Bacterial small subunit ribosomal RNA", at positions 736 to 1502 of the family's 1533-position model. The record is from RNAcentral. Lineage: Bacteria; Bacillati; Bacillota; Bacilli; Lactobacillales; Lactobacillaceae.